AAUAGUUGAAUUAAACUAAACUGACUGUUUAGCACAUGUCCUUUAUUUAAUUUAUUAAAUAUAAUACAAAAAAGUGACAUUAUACUUAACCACUAUAGUCAGGAUUUCUUCCGUAUUGAGGGACAAUAAGAAGAUCAAGAUUGUCAUAUACGAUUUCAUCAUUAAUAGUAGUCAACCAACACCAAUGACCCUCCGACCAUUUGUUUCCACCUGAAAAAUUCAUAUUAAAGAAAUUACUCAUAAAUGCAAAGAUUAAAAUAAUAAUCAUAAAUGGUAUUCAACUGAUAUUAGCCUAAAACCUGCGCAAGAUGUUUCCAUAGUCUUCAGAUCAGAAAAGAUAUAUGCUUAUGCCGAAAAGUAAUCAAAACUCGAUAGUAAGCUGCUCUUGCGAGUUCUUGCUUCUGGUUUGAUAUAACAUACAUGUCUAUUGUAUAUAUAGAAAUAAAUAGCCGACAGUGGGU
This 461-nucleotide long non-coding RNA is filed under the name Citrus maxima (pomelo). Its description in RNAcentral is "long non-coding RNA (CMAX_LNC003019)". Lineage: Eukaryota; Viridiplantae; Streptophyta; Magnoliopsida; Sapindales; Rutaceae. The record is from RNAcentral.